Molecule: ribosomal RNA, 492 nt
Filed under: uncultured bacterium
Lineage: Bacteria
Description: partial 16S ribosomal RNA
Rfam family: Bacterial small subunit ribosomal RNA
Source: RNAcentral
AGUGAACGCUGGCGGUAGGCCUAACACAUGCAAGUCGAACGGCAGCACAGUAAGAGCUUGCUCUUACGGGUGGCGAGUGGCGGACGGGUGAGGAAUACAUCGGAAUCUACUUUUUCGUGGGGGAUAACGUAGGGAAACUUACGCUAAUACCGCAUACGACCUACGGGUGAAAGCAGGGGAUCCUCGGACCUUGCGCGAUUGAAUGAGCCGAUGUCGGAUUAGCUAGUUGGCGGGGUAAAGGCCCACCAAGGCGACGAUCCGUAGCUGGUCUGAGAGGAUGACCAGCCACACUGGAACUGAGACACGGUCCAGACUCCUACGGGAGGCAGCAGUGGGGAAUAUUGGACAAUGGGCGCAAGCCUGAUCCAGCCAUACCGCGUGGGUGAAGAAGGCCUUCGGGUUGUAAAGCCCUUUUGUUGGGAAAGAAAAGCAGCAGGUUAAUACCCCGCUGUUCUGACGGUACCCAAAGAAUAAGCACCGGCUAACUUCGUG